This 774-nucleotide ribosomal RNA is filed under the name uncultured Neocallimastigales. RNAcentral describes it as "partial large subunit ribosomal RNA". It matches the Rfam family "Eukaryotic large subunit ribosomal RNA", at positions 23 to 646 of the family's 3401-position model. The record is from RNAcentral. Lineage: Eukaryota; Fungi; Neocallimastigomycota; Neocallimastigomycetes; Neocallimastigales.
AGAGAGAGACAUGCGCGCAUAUCAAUAAGCGGAGGAAAAGAAACUAACAAGGAUUCCCCUAGUAAUGGCGAGUGAAGCGGGAAGAGCUCAAAUUUGAAAUCUUAAAGGGUUUCCCUUUACGAAUUGUAGUUUAAAGAAGUGUUUUCUGUUGAGGUUUUGGUAAAAGUUCUUUGGAAUAGGACAUCAUAGAGGGUGAGAAUCCCGUAUUUGACCUUUACUUUCAACUUUGUGAUACACUUUCAAAGAGUCGGAUUGUUUGGGAAUGCAGUCCAAAAUGGGUGGUAAAUUUCAUCUAAAGCUAAAUAUUGGCGAGAGACCGAUAGCGAACAAGUACCGUGAGGGAAAGAUGAAAAGAACUUUGAAAAGAGAGUUAAACAGUACGUGAAAUUGUCAAAAGGGAAGCGUUUGACACCAGUGUUGUUUUUCUGAAAAUCAAUUAAAGAACUGUUUAUGCUAAGUUGUUUAGACUUUAUCAGCUAACUGUUUAGUUUUGAGCUUUUCUUUAAUGCACUUUUCAGUUAACAAGUCAACAUCAAUUUCUUUUGCUGUAAAAAAGCUUGAGGAAGGUGGCUUGAGAUUCGUCUUAAGUGUUUAUAGCCUCUUGCCUAUGCAGUCGGAGAGAUUGAGGUCUGCAGCGUAGAUCCUUCGGGGCUAAAUGCAUUUGUGCUAAGUUAUAGCAUUUUAUAGACAACUUGUUGACUAUGAUUUGUCUUGUAGCUUACUCGCUUAUGUUAUUUUACCUACGCUUAGGAUGUUGACGCAUGAGAUAUACGC